UACGGGGGGUCCAAGCGUUGUUCGGAAUCACUGGGCGUAAAGCGCAGGUAGGUGGCUUUUCAAGUCUGUUGUGAAAGCCCAGGGCCUAACCCUGGAAGUGCAGCAGAUACUGUUAAGCUUGAGUAUGGGAGAGGAUAGUGGAAUUCCUGGUGUAGUGGUGAAAUACGUAGAUAUCAGGAGGAACACCGGUGGCGAAGGCGGCUAUCUGGCCCAAUACUGACGCUGAGCUGCGAAAGCGUGGGGAUCAAACAGG
This 253-nucleotide ribosomal RNA is filed under the name uncultured bacterium. RNAcentral describes it as "partial 16S ribosomal RNA". It matches the Rfam family "Bacterial small subunit ribosomal RNA", at positions 524 to 776 of the family's 1533-position model. The record is from RNAcentral.